AUUGAACGCUGGCGGCAGGCCUAGCACAUGCAAGUCGAGCGGAUGAAGGGAGCUUGCUCCUGGAUUCAGCGGCGGACGGGUGAGUAAUGCCUAGGAAUCUGCCUGGUAGUGGGGGAUAACGUCCGGAAACGGGCGCUAAUACCGCAUACGUCCUGAGGGAGAAAGUGGGGGAUCUUCGGACCUCACGCUAUCAGAUGAGCCUAGGUCGGAUUAGCUAGUUGGUGGGGUAAAGGCCUACCAAGGCGACGAUCCGUAACUGGUCUGAGAGGAUGAUCAGUCACACUGGAACUGAGACACGGUCCAGACUCCUACGGGAGGCAGCAGUGGGGAAUAUUGGACAAUGGGCGAAAGCCUGAUCCAGCCAUGCCGCGUGUGUGAAGAAGGUCUUCGGAUUGUAAAGCACUUUAAGUUGGGAGGAAGGGCAGUAAGUUAAUACCUUGCUGUUUUGACGUUACCAACAGAAUAAGCACCGGCUAACUUCGUA
This 484-nucleotide ribosomal RNA is filed under the name uncultured bacterium. RNAcentral describes it as "partial 16S ribosomal RNA". It matches the Rfam family "Bacterial small subunit ribosomal RNA", at positions 30 to 507 of the family's 1533-position model. The record is from RNAcentral.